RNAcentral lists this transfer RNA (72 nucleotides) under Sus scrofa (pig). It matches the Rfam family "tRNA". Rfam says of the family: Transfer RNA (tRNA) molecules are approximately 80 nucleotides in length. Their secondary structure includes four short double-helical elements and three loops (D, anti-codon, and T loops). Further hydrogen bonds mediate the characteristic L-shaped molecular structure. tRNAs have two regions of fundamental functional importance: the anti-codon, which is responsible for specific mRNA codon recognition, and the 3' end, to which the tRNAs corresponding amino acid is attached (by aminoacyl-tRNA synthetases). tRNAs cope with the degeneracy of the genetic code in two manners: having more than one tRNA (with a specific anti-codon) for a particular amino acid; and 'wobble' base-pairing, i.e. permitting non-standard base-pairing at the 3rd anti-codon position. Lineage: Eukaryota; Metazoa; Chordata; Mammalia; Artiodactyla; Suidae. The record is from Rfam by way of RNAcentral.
UCCCUGGUGGUCUAGUGGUUAGGACUUGGUGCUUGCACUGCUGUGGCCCAGGUUCAAUCCCUGGUCUAAGAA